This 72-nucleotide transfer RNA is filed under the name Diaphus luetkeni. RNAcentral's name for it is "tRNA-Ser (AGY)". The record is from RNAcentral. Lineage: Eukaryota; Metazoa; Chordata; Actinopteri; Myctophiformes; Myctophidae.
CGAGGGGUGGCUCGACAGCAGUAAAGAUUGCUAAUCCUUCACCCCCUCGGUUAAACCCCGAGGCUCCCUCGG